UAGCCUUGACAUUGAAGAAACACACUAGAGAUAGAGUGGUACCCUUCGGGGAAUCUGAAAACAGGUGCUGCACGGCUGUCGUCAGCUCGUGUCGUGAGAUGUUGGGUUAAGUCCCGCAACGAGCGCAACCCUCGUCCUUAGUUGCCAGCAGGUUAAGCUGGGCACUCUAAGGAGACUGCCUUCGUAAGGAGGAGGAAGGUGAGGACGACGUCAAGUCAUCAUGGCCCUUAUGGCUAGGGCUACACACGUGCUACAAUGGGGCGUACAGAGAGUUGCGAUACCGCGAGGUGGAGCCAAUCUCAUAAAGCGUCUCUCAGUUCGGAUUGAAGUCUGCAACUCGACUUCAUGAAGCUGGAAUCACUAGUAAUCGUAGAUCAGCAAUGCUACGGUGAAUACGUUCCCGGGUCU
Molecule: ribosomal RNA, 408 nt
Filed under: uncultured bacterium
Lineage: Bacteria
Description: bacterial SSU rRNA
Rfam family: Bacterial small subunit ribosomal RNA
Source: RNAcentral